AUGACCCCUCGGCCCCGUCCGUUGCAUCACCAGCAUAUACUACUGCCGCAGCUGCUGACUUCUCCUAGCCGGCCGGCCAUGACUGCUCCCUUACUCACGCUUGUACUCCUCCUGCUGACCUCGUCGGUGGCCGUGGCGUGCGCCAGUGCCGAUCCCAAGGGCGACCUCAAGCGCAUCCGCGUGUACAUGCACGAAACCAUGUCGGGGCCGAACGCGACACUGCUGACGUCAGUGCAGUCCCCGCUGGGCGGCAGCGCAACGUUCGGGCAGAUCGGCGUGCUGGACAACGAGCUGCGGGACGGACUGCACCGGGGUAGCUCGUCGCCGCUGGGCCGGUUCCAGGGCUUGUUUGCCAUGACUGGGCUGGCGAACACGCCGGGCCUUCUGUCAGCGGUGGACGUCGUGUUCACGGGCGGGAAGUACCAAGGGAGCACGCUGGCCAUGCUGGGCACGAUACAGGACUUGCGGGCCUCCGUCGAGCGCACAGUCGUCGGCGGGACCGGCGCGUUUCGGAUGGCGCGGGGUUACAGCUCCAUGGUUUACAUUCCCGAGGCGAGCACGGCGAACAACGAUGUCUACAGGAUCGACUUCUUUGUUGAUGUUUAG
Molecule: ribosomal RNA, 606 nt
Filed under: Triticum aestivum (bread wheat)
Lineage: Eukaryota; Viridiplantae; Streptophyta; Magnoliopsida; Poales; Poaceae
Description: partial small subunit ribosomal RNA
Source: RNAcentral